GAUGUACUCUGCAUGUAAGUUAAAUAAUCAGGGUGCCUAUAUACAGCCUUGACAUAUUCCUUUUCCUGUUUGGAACCAGUCUGUUGUUCCAUUCCAGCUCUAACUGUUGCUUCUUGACCUGCAUACAGAUUUCUCAAGAGGCAGGUCAGGUGAUCUGGUAUUCCCAUCUCUUUCAGAAUUUUCCACAGCAUAGUCAAUAAAGCAGAAAUAGAUGUUUUUCUGGAACUCUCUUGCUUUUUCGAUGAUCCAGUGGAUGUUGGCAAUUUGAUCUCUGGUUUCUCUGCCUUUUCUAAAACCAGCUUGAACAUCUGGAAGUUCACAGUUCACGUAUUGCUGAAGCCUGGCUUGGAGAAUUUUGAGCAUUACUUUACUAGUGUGUGAGAUGAGUGCAAUUGUGCGAUAGUUUGAGCAUUCUUUGGCCUUGCCUUUCUUUGGGAUUGGAAUGUAAACUGACGUCUUCCAGUCCUGUGGCCACUGCUGA
This 481-nucleotide long non-coding RNA is filed under the name Ovis aries (sheep). Its description in RNAcentral is "lncRNA (ENSOARG00000026268.1)". The record is from RNAcentral. Lineage: Eukaryota; Metazoa; Chordata; Mammalia; Artiodactyla; Bovidae.